CCCUUAGAUGUCCUGGGCUGCACGCGUGCUACAAUGUUGCAUGCAGCGAGUCAUAACGUACAAGUUUUCCUCCAUCGAAAGAUGUGGGUAAUCUCAAAAUUGCAACAAGCUUGGGCUUGACCAUUGCAAUUGUUGGUCACCAACGAGGAAUUCCUAGUAAAUGCAAGUCAUCAUCUUGCGUUGAUUACGUCCCUGCCCUUUGUACACACCGCCCGUCGCUUCUACCGAUGAAUGAUCUGAUGAACGGUUUGGACAGAGGUUGCUCGUCAUUUCGGCGUUGCACUCUGGAAGAUCUGUAAAUUGUAUCAUUUAGAGGAAGAAGAAGUCGUANCA
Molecule: ribosomal RNA, 333 nt
Filed under: uncultured eukaryote
Lineage: Eukaryota
Description: partial 18S ribosomal RNA
Rfam family: Eukaryotic small subunit ribosomal RNA
Source: RNAcentral